This 482-nucleotide ribosomal RNA is filed under the name uncultured bacterium. Its description in RNAcentral is "partial 16S ribosomal RNA". It matches the Rfam family "Bacterial small subunit ribosomal RNA", at positions 30 to 507 of the family's 1533-position model. The record is from RNAcentral.
AUUGAACGCUGGCGGCACGCCUUACACAUGCAAAUCGAACGGUAACGGGCCUUCGGGUGCCGACGAGUGGCGAACGGGUGAGUAAUACAUCGGAACGUGCCCGAUCGUGGGGGAUAACGAGGCGAAAGCUUUGCUAAUACCGCAUACGAUCUACGGAUGAAAGCAGGGGACCGCAAGGCCUUGCGCGGACGGAGCGGCCGAUGGCAGAUUAGGUAGUUGGUGGGAUAAAAGCUUACCAAGCCGACGAUCUGUAGCUGGUCUGAGAGGAUGAUCAGCCACACUGGGACUGAGACACGGCCCAGACUCCUACGGGAGGCAGCAGUGGGGAAUUUUGGACAAUGGGCGCAAGCCUGAUCCAGCCAUGCCGCGUGCAGGAUGAAGGCCUUCGGGUUGUAAACUGAUUUUGUACGGAACGAAAAGCCUUCUUUUAAUACAGGAGGGUCAUGACGGUACCGUAAGAAUAAGCACCGGCUAACUACGUG